This 2289-nucleotide long non-coding RNA is filed under the name Salmo salar (Atlantic salmon). Its description in RNAcentral is "lncRNA (ENSSSAG00000107076.1)". Lineage: Eukaryota; Metazoa; Chordata; Actinopteri; Salmoniformes; Salmonidae. The record is from RNAcentral.
CAUGAAACAAAGUAUGUUACCGGCCCGAUGUCUCUCUGGAAAGAAAUCCUUGCUCUAAGCUCAUCAACUUUGUUAUCAAAAGACUGAACAUUUCCAAGUAAUAUACUCGGAAGCCGUGGGUGGUGUGCGUGCCUCCUAAGUUGAACCAGCAGGCCGCCUCGAGUGCCUCUCCUCUGCCGGCGAUGUUUUGGGGUGGCCUCUGGAAUAAGUUAAAUUGCUUUGGGGAGAGUGAACAAAGGAUCUGCUCCAGGGAAGUUGUAUUCCUGGUCAUAAUGCUGGUAGUUCUGUCUACCUACCUCUCUCCGGGUCGCUGAGGCACUAUUCGGGUUGGUUUUCUGGCACUAUGGCCUUCUGGAGGACAUCGUUUCCGACCAUGGUCCACCAAUUCACGUCGCAGGUCUGGAAAGCCUUUAUGGAGAAGCUGGGGGCCACGGUCAGCCUCACAUCCGGGUACCGGCCUAACGGGCAUGUGGAGAGGCCCAACCAAGAGCUGGGGGGGUUCCUAAGGAGUCACUGGCAGGGGGAGUGGGCCCGGUUCCUUCCCUGCACGGAAUACGCACAGAACUCACUUCGUUACUCCACCGAGCUGACUCCCUUCCAGUGCGUCCUGGGAUAUCAGCCGGCACUGGCUCUGUGGACUCUGAGCCAGACCGAGGCCCCUGCAGUUGACGAGUGGUGCAGAGGUGUGGAACACCACCAAUGUGAGGCUCCGGCGCGCCAUCCACUGUCAGAAGGAUUGGGCGAUCCGCCACUACAGUGAGGCGCCUGUGUUCCAUCCUGGUGAUCGCAUCUGACUCUACACCAGGAACCUCCCACUCCGCCUGCCCUGCCGGAAGCUGAGCCCCCAGUUUGUGGGGCCCUUCAAGGUCCUCUGGAGGGUCAAUGAGGUAACCUAUCAUUUAGAACUCCACACCAACUACCGGCUCUAACCCUCCUUUCAUAUUUCCUUCCACAGGCCGGUGCUUCCUGGUCCCCUGGCUGAUGCUGUCCUCGCGACACCCCUCCACCUCCCCUGGACAUCGAAGGGACCCCCACCUAUACUAUUUGGUCCCUACUGGACUCCUCAACUCAUGGGAGUCGACUCCAGUACCUGGUGGACUAGGAGGGCUACGGUCCUGAGGAGAGCGCUCUUGGGUCCCUGUGGCGGUCAACCUCUGUUGCUCUAGGAUGCCCACAUGCCUUACAAGACUCGUCUGAAGGUCCCCGGGUACCAGUUGUGUGUGUGUGUGUGUGUGUGUGUGUGUAUAUAAAUGAGACUGUUUAGUGCCAAAAAUAAGGGGUUAAAUACAUGCAAAAACAAAUUUAACAAAUGCUUCCUGAACUUUAUUAUAUCUCUCAGAUAUAGGACAGACACUUCAGAACAAACUUUCCUUUUUAUUUAUUUUAGGGACUCUGUUCCACUCUAGUGAAUCUGUUAUUCAAUGUGUUUGUAUGGACUAAUGACGGUAAGGCCACUUGUUGUAUAUGGAAAAACAUUUUUUUUUUUUUUUUCAAAAUGAAAAAGCUAAAUGGUCCUUGGUGUGACCUUCUCAAAACAAUUACAUUUAAGUGAAUAAAUAUGUGAUAUUAUAUAUAUCGUUUUUAAACAACGAAGAUGGCUUGAUUGCGUAGGUCUUCAUACCCGAGGUAAUAAUAGGUGGAAACCCAUUUGGCAGCAACUUUACACAGGAUAGCUGUCUUUCAGGAUGCAUUUCUUGUGCUGUAUCCCAUAGUGCAGGGGUAUUAAUCUGGCCCUCAAGACCUGUAACACUUCUGGUUUUCAUUCUUCCCCUCUAAUCAAAUUUUAUUGGUCACAUACCCAUGUUUAGCAGAUGUUAUUGCGGUUGUAGCGACUGAUUUAGAAAUACCUAUAAUCUGUGCCUAAUAUACAGUGCCUUUGGAAUUUAUUCAGACUCCUUAGCCUUAUUCUAAAAUGUUUUAAAUUGUUUUUUUCUCAAUCUAUGCACAAUACCCGAUAAUGACAAAGCAAAAAUAAAUGUAGAAAUUGUUGCUAAUUUAUUACAUUUUAAAUGGAAAUAUCACAUUUACAUAAAUAUUCAGACCCUUUACUCAGUACUUUGUUGAAGCCCCCUUGGCAGCGAUUACAGCCUCGAGUCUUCUUGGGUAUGAUGCUACAAGCUUGGCACACCUGUAUUUGGGUAGUUUCUCCCAUUCUUCUCUGAAGAUCCUCUCAAGCCCUGUCAGGUUGGAUGGGGAGAGUUGCUGCACAGCUAUUUUCAGGUCUCUCCAGAGAUGUUCAACCGGGUUCGAGUCCGAGCUCUGGCUAGGUCAGUCAAGGACAUUCAGAGA